Molecule: ribosomal RNA, 333 nt
Filed under: uncultured fungus
Lineage: Eukaryota; Fungi
Description: eukaryotic LSU rRNA
Rfam family: 5.8S ribosomal RNA (bases 1-71)
Source: RNAcentral
GUGAGUCAUCGAAUCUUUGAACGCACAUUGCGCCUUCUGGUAAUCCGGAAGGCAUGCCUGUCUGAGCGUCAUUACACCAUUCAAACCUUUCUUUUAUUAGAAGUGGCUUGGUUUUGGGAGUAGACAGUUAGUCUUUGGGCUAUAGUCUCUCCUGUAAUGUAUUGACGAGCGUCUACUGUUCCUUAGUUGUAGCAAGUAAUUUCUCAACUUCAAGGUAAUAGUAGAUCUCUUACUUUCUCCUUGAUGGCUUCUUUUGGGAAGUCAUCUUCUUAAAGUUUGACCUCAGAUCAGGUAGUAAUACCCGCUGAACUUAAGCAUAUCAAUAAGGCGAGG